Molecule: ribosomal RNA, 496 nt
Filed under: uncultured bacterium
Lineage: Bacteria
Description: partial 16S ribosomal RNA
Rfam family: Bacterial small subunit ribosomal RNA
Source: RNAcentral
GAUGAACGCUGGCGGCGUGCCUAAUACAUGCAAGUCGAGCGAACGGACGAGAAGCUUGCUUCUCUGAUGUUAGCGGCGGACGGGUGAGUAACACGUGGAUAACCUACCUAUAAGACUGGGAUAACUUCGGGAAACCGUAGCUAAUACCGGAUAAUAUUUUGAACCGCAUGGUUCAAAAGUGAAAGACGGUCUUGCUGUCACUUAUAGAUGGAUCCGCGCUGCAUUAGCUAGUUGGUAAGGUAACGGCUUACCAAGGCAACGAUGCAUAGCCGACCUGAGAGGGUGAUCGGCCACACUGGAACUGAGACACGGUCCAGACUCCUACGGGAGGCAGCAGUAGGGAAUCUUCCGCAAUGGGCGAAAGCCUGACGGAGCAACGCCGCGUGAGUGAUGAAGGUCUUCGGGUCGUAAAACUCUGUUAUUAGGGAAGAACAUAUGUGUAAGUAACUGUGCACAUCUUGACGGUACCUAAUCAGAAAGCCACGGCUAACUACGU